UACGGAGGGUGCAAGCGUUAUCCGGAUUCACUGGGUUUAAAGGGUGCGUAGGUGGAUUAGUAAGUCAGUGGUGAAAUCUCUGGGCUUAACUCAGAAACUGCCAUUGAUACUAUUAGUCUUGAAUACCGUGGAGGUCAGCGGAAUAUGUCAUGUAGCGGUGAAAUGCUUAGAUAUCGUCCAGAACACCGAUAGCGAAGGCAGCUUACUAAGGAGUAACUGACGCUGAGGCACGAAAGUGUGGGGAUCAAACAGG
Molecule: ribosomal RNA, 253 nt
Filed under: uncultured bacterium
Lineage: Bacteria
Description: partial 16S ribosomal RNA
Rfam family: Bacterial small subunit ribosomal RNA
Source: RNAcentral